This 172-nucleotide ribosomal RNA is filed under the name uncultured bacterium. Its description in RNAcentral is "partial 16S rRNA". It matches the Rfam family "Bacterial small subunit ribosomal RNA", at positions 358 to 511 of the family's 1533-position model. The record is from RNAcentral.
GGAAUCUUCCACAAUGGGCNCGGGGGGGGGGGAANCCUGAUGGAGCAACGCCGCGUGAGUGAAGAAGGUCUUCGGAUCGUAAAACUCUGUUGUUAGAGAAGAACAUGCAGGAGAGUAACUGUUCUUGUAUUGACGGUAUCUAACCAGAAAGCCACGGCUAACUACGUGACAG